Long non-coding RNA from Mastomys coucha (southern multimammate mouse), 249 nucleotides. RefSeq lists it as uncharacterized. The record is from RefSeq and is a predicted model, not a curated record. The transcript is spliced from 2 exons. Lineage: Eukaryota; Metazoa; Chordata; Mammalia; Rodentia; Muridae.
UUUCAGGGCUGUCCAUUGUGCACUGGAAAACCAAGAAGGGUGCUCAUCUGUCACGGACCGGGAUUUUCGCGGGGUCCCUGUUCCGCGGGACACAGGAUUCUGGCCAGACGGAGCUCUAAAAUGUCUCGCCUCAUCGUGGCUAGGGAUCUCAGAAGAACUUUAAAGGCAAAUGGAAGCACAAUAAUUACUAUUAAGACAAUGUCAGUAAUAACAGCAAUCAAGAUUAUAUAUUGAACCCAGUCUAAGGGA